RNAcentral lists this ribosomal RNA (326 nucleotides) under uncultured eukaryote. Its description in RNAcentral is "partial 18S ribosomal RNA". It matches the Rfam family "Eukaryotic small subunit ribosomal RNA", at positions 1470 to 1796 of the family's 1831-position model. The record is from RNAcentral.
CCCUUAGAUGUUCUGGGAUGCACGCGCGUUACACUGAUUCGUUCAACGAGUUUAUGACCUUGCCUGAUGAGGUGGGGGAAUCUUUUCAAAUCGCAUCGUGAUGGGGAUAGAGUAUUGUAACUGUUAGUCUUCAACGAGGAAUUCCUAGUAAGUACGUGUCAUCAGCUCGUACUGAUUAUGUCCCUGCCCUUUGUACACACCGCCCGUCGCUCCUACCGAUUGAGUGCUCAGGUGAAUAGUAUGGACUGCAUCAGUGUUCGGUCUCCGAAUGUUGAAGCGAGAAAUUCUGUGAAUCUUAUUGCUUAGAGGAAGGAGAANUCGUAACA